RNAcentral lists this ribosomal RNA (273 nucleotides) under uncultured bacterium. RNAcentral describes it as "partial 16S ribosomal RNA". It matches the Rfam family "Bacterial small subunit ribosomal RNA", at positions 523 to 796 of the family's 1533-position model. The record is from RNAcentral.
AUACGGAGGGUGCGAGCGUUAAUCGGAAUUACUGGGCGUAAAGCGUACGUAGGCGGUUGGUUAAGUUAGAUGUGAAAGCCCCGGGCUUAACCUGGGAACUGCAUUUAAAACUGGCGAACUAGAGUUGAGUAGAGGGGAGUGGAAUUUCAGGUGUAGCGGUGAAAUGCGUAGAGAUCUGAAGGAACACCAGUGGCGAAGGCACUCCCUGGACUCGAACUGACGCUGAGGUACGAAAGCGUGGGUAGCAAACGGGAUUAGAAACCCCAGUAGUCC